Molecule: long non-coding RNA, 2092 nt
Filed under: Homo sapiens (human)
Lineage: Eukaryota; Metazoa; Chordata; Mammalia; Primates; Hominidae
Description: HSALNT0362775
Source: RNAcentral
UUUAAUUCCAGAAAACCAAUUACAUACAUUGACAUAUGGUUAACUGUUACCAUAUCAAGGGAUGAAAACCAUAUGAUUGUUCCAGCAGAUACAGAAAAAGAUUUACUAAAAGUCAACAUAAAUUUAUUAUGCAAAGCUCUUAGCAAACUAAGAAUAGACAGGAAUCUAUUUAACCUCAAUAAAUAUCAUCAAUUAAAACUACAGCAAAUAUCAUGCUUAAAAAUGUAAUGUGGAAAGCAUCCCUUUCAGGUUAGACAGGAGUAAAGUAACCUUAUAAUUUAUCCAAAAAUUUAAGUCUUAGAGAAUUGCACUAUUCAACUCCAUUCCACACCACCUGGCAUAAUUCUGAUUUACGAUUAUGUUUACUAUUCCUCAAAAUCACUUUCCCUUUUACUGUAGUGGUAGGUGACCAUUAUCUUCUGCCUCAUAGAAGAUCGAGCAUCAAUAUCUUUGGCAGUAGGAUAUUACAGCUCCAAUAUCCUUGAAAGCAGUGUGACUUCUUUCUUAACUGUGCUAAUAAGUUAUUUAUGCAAAGAAUCAUGCCAGAUGUUAAGGAUUAAUUCAUAAAAUAUGUAGUUUUCUUGGUGGGGAAUGAUGGAGACACGACACAUGCAUCCACUGACAAAAUUGCCCACUACUACUCUGGGUUAAGUGAUAGCUCUGCCCGCAUUCUUCUUGGUGUCUAUAAUUCCUGUAUACCAUUAGAUAUUCUGCCUUUGUAUCUUCUGUGACACAUACAUACAAAUAAAAAGAAAACAUUAUUAAUAAAAACCCAGCAAUUCUUGGAGAUCCCUGAUAGCUUGCUCAAGCUACCAAGCUGGUUUCACAUGUUUUAUUCCAUAAACUGUGGAUUGAAAAAUUGAUAACGCUGACACUGAGGAACUGAGAGAAUCGACCUGGUCACCUGUAUCCUGUUGCUCUUUUAUUCUACACUUCUGCAUAUAAAAUGACAGACAUGUAUUUUCUGUGUGUUUAUUUACAACAACAUUCUUCGAUGUUGUUACAAGUAGUUGCUUCACCCAGUAAGCUUGGCAAAGCUCUUGUUGCUGCUUCACUUUUCAACCCAGAAACAGCUGCACUGGACUGCAGCUGACUCCUCUCAACUCUACUGAGAGUCCUCUGUCUAGAUUUCUGAUCUUUCCUUUCUGCUUUCUUUUGUCCAUUUAUUCCUUCAACAUAUGUUUGUUUGUUUGUUUAUUUAUUUAUUUAUUUAAUUAAUUUACUCUUUUAGACAGAGUCUCGCUCUGUGGUCCAGGCUGGAGUGCAGUGACAAUCUUGGCUCACUGCAACCUCUGCCUCCCUGGCUCAAGUGAUCCUCCUGCAUCAGACUCCUGAGUAGCUGGGACUACAGGCACACACCACCAUGCCUGGCUAAUUUUUUGUAUUUUUAGUAGAGACAGGUUUUCAUCAUAUUGGCUAGGCUGAUCUCAAACUCCUGACCUCAGGCGAUUCACCCACCUCAACCUCCUAAAGUGCUGGCAUUACAGGUGUGAGCCACCAUGUCCAGCCAACAAAUGUUUAUUGAUCAACUACAGUGUGCUAAAUAUGCUGGAUGUUGGGGAUCCAAUGCUGAGCAAGUUGGAUUGCUCACCUUUAUGUUCUGUGUUGGUGGGAAUGUUCAUCUUUCCUCGUGGCAGGAUGGAUCACACCAUCUUUCAGAGCCAAUAAAGAAAAAAAUUAACCAUCAGAUAGCAAGAAAGAUACUACAACAUUUCCUGUUUAAUCAGGCAUCUCCCUAAACUAUCUUUACAGAGAGAGUGUUUUCAUUUAAUUUCUUUUUGCUGUAAUGGUGAAGUCAGAAACUUUAAAACUGUGUAUUGUCAAUAUUUCCUGUGAAGCAUUUUUCAGCUCCAGGAAAUAUUUCUGUUAUAUUUUCCAAAAUGUAAGAGCUUAUCUAUGGAAAGAAGUGCAUUGGUUUAUGAUGUAGAUAUGUUCUUUAUUUUGUUUUUUAUAAUUUCAACUUUUAUUUUAGAUUCAGAAGUUCAUGUACAAGUUUGUAUAUUGCAUGACGCUGAAGUUUGGGAUAAGAACAAUCCUGUCACCCAGGCAGGAGGUCACAUAGAUAAGAAGAAGUACAAUGAAAAGGACAUGC